UACGGAGGGGGCGAGCGUUAUUCGGAAUUAUUGGGCGUAAAGGGCGCGUAGGCGGCCCGGUAAGUCAAAGGUGAAAUCCCUCGGCUCAACUGAGGAACUGCCUUUGAAACUGUCGGGCUUGAGGCCGGGAGGGGGUAGCGGAAUUCCCAGUGUAGCGGUGAAAUGCGUAGAUAUUGGGAGGAACACCAGUGGCGAAGGCGGCUACCUGGCCCGGUACUGACGCUGAGGUGCGAAAGCGUGGGGAGCAAACAGG
RNAcentral lists this ribosomal RNA (253 nucleotides) under uncultured bacterium. RNAcentral's name for it is "partial 16S ribosomal RNA". It matches the Rfam family "Bacterial small subunit ribosomal RNA", at positions 524 to 776 of the family's 1533-position model. The record is from RNAcentral.